RNAcentral lists this ribosomal RNA (334 nucleotides) under uncultured eukaryote. Its description in RNAcentral is "partial 18S ribosomal RNA". It matches the Rfam family "Eukaryotic small subunit ribosomal RNA", at positions 1470 to 1796 of the family's 1831-position model. The record is from RNAcentral.
CCCUUAGAUGUCCGGGGCCGCACGCGCGCUACACUGAAGGAAUCAGCGUGGCUUUCUCCCUGACCCGAAAGGGUUGGGAAACCCGUUGAAUCUCCUUCGUGAUAGGGAUUGGGGCUUGAAAUUGUUCCCCAUGAACGAGGAAUUCCCAGUAAGCGCGAGUCAUAAGCUCGCGUUGAUUACGUCCCUGCCCUUUGUACACACCGCCCGUCGCUACUACCGAUUGAACGGUUUAGUGAGGGCCUCGGAUUGGUCUCGGCCCGCUCUUUACCGGGCGGCGCCGUUGGUCUAGAAGACGCUCGAACUUGAUCGUUUAGAGGAAGUAAAAGUCGUAACA